RNAcentral lists this long non-coding RNA (1140 nucleotides) under Taeniopygia guttata (zebra finch). RNAcentral describes it as "lncRNA (ENSTGUG00000019431.1)". The record is from RNAcentral. Lineage: Eukaryota; Metazoa; Chordata; Aves; Passeriformes; Estrildidae.
UGAAAGUGAAUUUAUUUAUAACAGCGUCCGCUCCGUGCGCUGGGACAGCCGGGCCCAGGGGCUGCUCAUCGACCGCUCCCUCUUCGAGCGGGAGCUGCUCAGCCCGGGCGACGCCCAGGGGCCGGCCCCGCGCCCCUUCAGGGCCACGCGGUUCCGCAGCUUCGUGCGCCAGCUCCACCGCUACGGCUUCCACAGGGUGCCGGGCCGGGCUGGCUCAGCUGCGCCGGGCGAUGCCGGGGCCUGGUUCCACUACAGCAACCCCUGCUUUCGCCGCGACCGCCCCGACCUCCUGCUCCGCGUCAGGCGCCGGAGCACGCCCAACAGGCAGCGGCCGGCGGCGGGGCGGGAGGGCCGCAGGCGCCAGCCCAGCCGCUUCCAGCAGCACCAUCCAGAGCGGGUGGUGCCCUCCUUCCCCGCCGGGCAGCCCCCAGAGCCGUGCUCUCCUAUCAGGACCUUGCUGCUGGCUGGCCUCAGGGUUUAGAGCUGCCUCCAGGCCCUUCCAGGCAAAGUGCAGGUGCUUGGGAGUCUGAGGUUUUCCUAGCAUCUUCCAAGAAAGUCUUUGCCACAUCUGGACUUCUUGGGGUUUCAUCAGAGGAAUCAGGCAUGGACAAAUUUCAACUCAACUGUGAGCUCACCAUUCUUCUGCUUCCCAUGGAGCUUAAGUGCCACCCUGAGCUCAUCGUUCCUCUGGUUCCUGUAGACCAUCACAGCCCUCCCAUGGCCUCUCCACAGAGAAGCUGCUGCACAUCUUCCAAGCAGCAUUUGCCAGCCUGCAGCCCAUCAGUCACCCCAGGCAGUUCAGCCCCCUGUGCUGCAGCUGGCAGUGCUGGUUUUGGAGCAUGGACAGCUCCCAGCUGGCUGUGGAGUACUCUUGGGGAAGAAGAAUUGUCACCAGUGGAUCUGGACAUGGUGCUUGAGACACUGGAGGAGAUGUUUUCUCUGUCUGCUCAGGGGAGUGUUAUUGUUGCCCCUGAGUCUUCAGGAGAGGAGCCUGUGGACAGAGCUGCAGCAGAGGGAGCUUUGCCUGGCACCAGGAGCUGCCGGAACAAUUCCCAGGAGCCCGAGGAGCCUGAGCUGUUCAUCCCAGAGCUGGUAGUUGUUUUGGAGGAGCUGUUGCUCACUGCAGAGGGCAGUUUGUAG